UAGCAUAUCAAUAAGCGGAGGAAAAGAAACCAACAGGGAUUGCCUCAGUAACGGCGAGUGAAGCGGCAACAGCUCAAAUUUGAAAUCUGGCCUUCUGGUCCGAAUUGUAAUUUGUAGAGGACGCUUUUGGUGCGGUACCUUCCGAGUUCCCUGGAACGGGACGCCUUAGAGGGUGAGAGCCCCGUACGGUUGGAUACCUAGCCUCUGUAUAGCUCCUUCGACGAGUCGAGUAGUUUGGGAAUGCUGCUCUAAAUGGGAGGUAAAUUUCUUCUAAAGCUAAAUACCGGCCAGAGACCGAUAGCGCACAAGUAGAGUGAUCGAAAGAUGAAAAGUACUUUGAAAAGAGGGUUAAAUAGCACGUGAAAUUGUUGAAAGGGAAGCGCUUAUGACCAGACCUUUGCCUGGCGGAUCAUCCGGUGUUCUCACCGGUGCACUUCGCCAGGUCGAGGCCAGCGUCGAUUUUUGGAGGGGGAUAAAGGCUUCGGGAAUGUGACUCCUCCGGGAGUGUUAUAGCCCGUUGCGUAAUACCCUUCCGGGGAUCGAGGUUCGCGCUCUGCAAGGACGCUGGCGUAAUGGUCAUCAGUGACCCGUCUUGAAACACGGACCAAGGAGUCGAACAUUUGUGCGAGUGUUUGGGUGUUAAACCCUCACGCGUAAUGAAAGUGAACGGAGGUGAGAGCCCUUACGGGUGCAUCAUCGACCGAUCCUGAAGUCUUCGGAUGGAUUUGAGUAAGAGCAUAACUGUUCGGACCCGAAAGAUGGUGAACUAUGCGUGGAUAGGGUGAAGCCAGAGGAAACUCUGGUGGAGGCUCGCAGCGGUUCUGACGUGCAAAUCGAUCGUCAAAUCUGCGCAUGGGGGCGAAAGACUAAUCGACCAUCUA
This 881-nucleotide ribosomal RNA is filed under the name Xenoanthostomella calami. RNAcentral's name for it is "Xenoanthostomella sp. SK-2022a partial large subunit ribosomal RNA". It matches the Rfam family "Eukaryotic large subunit ribosomal RNA", at positions 36 to 946 of the family's 3401-position model. Lineage: Eukaryota; Fungi; Ascomycota; Sordariomycetes; Xylariales; Gyrothricaceae. The record is from RNAcentral.